CCUCCUGAUGUAAAAUGGGGACUGAUG
RNAcentral lists this non-coding RNA (27 nucleotides) under Cricetulus griseus (Chinese hamster). Lineage: Eukaryota; Metazoa; Chordata; Mammalia; Rodentia; Cricetidae. The record is from RNAcentral.